This is an RNA transcript of Acromyrmex echinatior (Panamanian leafcutter ant), 427 nucleotides long. It is a transcript of the gene named G protein-activated inward rectifier potassium channel 3, with no coding region annotated. NCBI's taxonomy places the organism in Eukaryota, Metazoa, Arthropoda, Insecta, Hymenoptera, Formicidae. The record is from RefSeq and is a predicted model, not a curated record.
CUCACAGUUUCGCGAAACGCUUUGUCAUCAAUAUCAUACAUAUUUUCUCAUCGUGAAGUAUUCAUAUAAACACAAAUGUAUUAUCUAGCAUUUUCAUAAUCGUGCAUAAAAAUAACUAAAAAACAUUAAAAAAAGAAAAAGUGUUUGAUAAUUUAGUUUAAAAGUGAAUCGUUAUAAGCAUGCAUGAAAUUUUAAAGAUUGUCUAAUAUGGGCUUUAUGCGUGUAUGGUGAUUAUGACGUGCAUACUACUACCGCCUGCGCGCUGUAAAGAGAUAAACGCUAUGGCGAGAUCUCAUGUGACUCGAGAGAACGAAUGAACAUGGGUGAAUUUAAAACAGUCGUAAGCGUGCCGCGCAUACGUGCGUUCGAUGUCAGUUGGAAGAGAGAAAAAUUACUAUUAUUUUUAAAGGAAUGAUAAGAGAGAUAA